Molecule: long non-coding RNA, 7334 nt
Organism: Oncorhynchus mykiss (rainbow trout)
Lineage: Eukaryota; Metazoa; Chordata; Actinopteri; Salmoniformes; Salmonidae
Source: Ensembl
AUGCAGGAGGGCCAUCCCAUGACUACCUACAGGAGUGAGUAUAAGGGGGCCCCAGCUCAGAGCUCUCAGGAUUGCUUGGGACCCCACAGUAGAGCUCUGCCACAGGACCACAGUCACUCACACAUUCUUGGAGAAAGGAGGCUGGAUCUCCCACACGGCCAGCUCCAGAGCCUGCUGGAGUCCAUCGGGCUAGACCUGGGGGUGGAGGAGUUGGGCCGACUGUCAGACCGGACCAAGGAGAGGCUGUACGGGAUGAAGAGAGACCAGGAGAGGAGUCCCCUGACGUCAGACAGGCACUCUAGAACUAGAGACUGGGACAGAGAACGAGACGAGGACACAGAGAGGAACGGAUCUAAGAGAAAUGGAGAAAGAGACAGAGAGAGAGACUGGGUCAGUUCUGAGCGAGACCGAGAGAGAGACGGGGACAAAUCUGAGCGAGAUAGGGACAGGCGCUCUAAUACCAGGGACAGGCACUCUGGUUCCAGGGACAGGCGCUCUAGUACCAGGGACAGGGACAGACACUCUGGUUCCAGACACUCUGGUACCAGAGACAGCAACAGGGACAGGCGCUCUAGUACCAGGGACAGAGACGAGGACAGGCGCUCUAGUGCCAGGGACAGAGACGAGGACAGGCGCUCUAGUGCCAGGGACAGAAACAGGGACAGGCGCUCUAGUGCCAGGGACAGGCGCUCUAGUACCAGGGACAGGCGUUCUAAUACCAGGGACAGGCGCUCUAGUACCAGGGACAGGAACAGGCGCUCUAGUACCACGGACAGGCUCUUUACUAACAGGGACAGAGACAGGGACAGGUGCUCUAGCAGCAGAGAAAGGGACAGGCGCUCUAGUAACAGGGACCGAGACCGGGACAGGCGCUCUAGUAACAGGGACAGAGACAGGAACAGGCGCUGUAGUACCAGGGACUGUGACAGAGAUGGCGACUGGGCCGAAGGAAGCGACAAUGAUUGGUAUAGGGACAAGUCCAAGGAAAGCUCUGCUGAGCUCAACACAUACUCAAAGGACCCUAUAUAUCCUUUUUCUCACCCUCCUAAUGCAUCUAUGAUGGCAACCUUCUCCACCACCCAGUUCUCUCUGUAUACCAGCAGACCCUACGCCAAUACCUUCCCUCCAGGUUGGGGUUAUCCCCCUGGCCUUAUGCCCCCUAGCUUUAUGCCCCCUGGUACCAUGCCCCCUGGUACCAUGCCCCCUGGUAUUAGGCCCCCUGGUACCAUGCCCCCUAGUAUUAUGCCCCCUGGUAUUAUGCCCCCUGGUAUUAUGCCCCCUGGUACCAUGCCCCCUGAUAUUAUGCCCCCUAGUAUUAUGCCCCCUAGUAUUAUGCCCCCUGGUAUUAUGCCCCCUAGUAUUAUGCCCCCUUUUACCAUGCCCCCUGGUACCAAGCCUCCCUUCCCAUACCCCCCCCCUGGGUAUCCACCCUACCUCAGCGCCCCACCACAUUACUCUAAUAGCACAGCAGCCUCAAGCCAGACAUACGCAUACACACAGGCUGCUAGAAACCUCCAGCUCUCAUCUACUCAGCCUGCCAGUAACCACCAGUUAGCAUAUAUCCCACUCCCAUACAACCAGCCCUCUGGCACCCUCCAGCAGCUAAACACCAAGUCCACUGGCAACCUGCUCCAGCUCAUGAACCUCCAACUCCCAAACAGCAAGCCCGGUAGCACCCGCCAGCUUACUUACAUUCAGCCAGCUAGCAACCCCCAGGUCAAAUCUAUCCAGCCUGGUGGGACCCGGCAGCUUACAUACAUUCAGCCCACUAGCAACCCCCAGGUCACAUCUACCAAGCCCGCUAGCACCCGCCAGCUUACAUACAUCCAGACUGCUAGCAACCCCCAGGUCACACCUACCCAGCCCGAUAAUGAACUCAAGUUCACAAGCAUGGCUGUACUGACGCCAGCACUGAAAGUGUUGACCCCAGGCCCCAUCUCCUUGAACAAGGCCCAACAACUGAAGGAGCUGUCACCCCCCCGCUGUCUGCAUUACGUUAAGACGGUGGUGCCCAAGGGCAGCAAACGCCGCAUGAGACGGUCAAGAGUCACGAGAAAUAGGCAGGCGCUUGAAGAAAGGUGUAAUAAAUACAGGAAAGAGGUUCUGAGAAAGAGGAGAAUAUAUCGAGAUCUCCAAGGGAAGAGAGAUGGACUGAUUGCAAGAGCUGCAGCGAAAGUGGCCGCUCGGUUAGCUGCAAAGUACCCCAGGGCCCUCUCUGAAGCGGAGGCAGAGAGCGAUGUUGAAGGGGAGAAAAAAACAAUGCCAGAAGAAGUGAUUAAGGGGAAACUAAAGAAGAAGCUUGAAGAGUUCAACCUGAAGAUGAAGCGGAAAUCGACGCAACAAACACCAACAUAAACUCAAAGGCAGUUUGUUAUCUUCACUUGGCAUCAUGAGCUCAUCUCCCACUAGAAUAGAACCUGCUGCUGACCCAUCCAGACCCUAUGGACAUUAGUUGGCUUACAUUGUUACCCAUCAUUCAUUUAUUGAUUUGUAAUGAUGCUAACAAAGGAUUUGUUAUCUUUGAGCCACAUCCUUUAAGGCAACAUAUUGAAGAAUCUUUUUCAGUGUAUAUUCAGAUUGGAUUUAUAUGUAGUAGCAUGGGUACGGACGGUCAGGGGCUUUUCUUGAAAACGUGAUCUGACUUGCAAAAAUGAUUUCCUAUAUAGGCUUUUAGCUUUAAUUAGGGCCUGGAGAUUUUCCUAGGCUGGUCAUUUGUUCAGGAAAAACUCUUAACCCAUUUCUGUGGAUCCUCUUUCACUGUGUAUAUAUACAAAUAAAGAGUUAUUUUAUUUAUUUAUUUUUCUCAAAAAGUAACUUCAAAAUGGAAGUCAUGCUGAUGAUCUAAACUAUGCUCCACACUCCGUCCUGUUGGUGGCAGUAUUGGAAUUAGAAUCAUAACAAGGUGGGACGAAAUCUUCAGAAGCAGGUACAGCAGAAAAAUAAAAUAGUCUUUGUCCUUUGCUAGCUAGAUCGUUGCUUUUGUACUAGCUAAUAUAUGCAUUUUUUAUGCAAUUGCGUGGAACUUGUUUAACGCCUCAAAAUCUAAAAUGACAUGGCGAACAUAAUGAGAUGGUACCCUCUUUAAGGCCUAAGACGAGCGCGGGUGAGGUUGCAGACGAGGUAAACAAUCAUUUUAUAGCUACUGCUUGCACUUUAUUUUUAAGAAUAUAGUAAUGUGUUUGGUUAUGAUAAAAACAGUUAUUGGGCUAUAUGCUUCUGUCACGCUCACAGCAUGUUCUGAAAAUGGCAUAGCUACAAGCUAACGUUAGCUACCUAGCUUAGUAGAAGAGGUUCCGCUUCAGAUUCAUGCAGCUUUAGUAUUCUGAUCAUAGUUAGCAUUUAUGGCUAGCAUUUAAACCAUCAAUCGCGUUCCUUACACGCUAGGAACGAAUUUCCUCAAGUUAUAAUGAGAAAGUGCCUGUCGGUCCCAAAACACAAGUUUAAUGGAGACUUGUAGGAGGACUGCGUAUGACGUCGCCCACUGUUUGCGAUUUCGUUAGCCUGAUUGCAUCCAGACUGAGAAGUCCGCAUUGCUUUCCUGACCACGUCCUGAAGUGGUCAGCAAGAUCUGAACACAUUCAGCACAAAGCCACUUCUGUGCGUCUAGACCAGUCUUCUCUGUGAUAUCUUCAUAUUCUGAUAGCCAGGGGCGCAACUUUGGUUUUAGAAGUGAGGGGGGACAUAACCUGGAGGGGGGACUGGGGGUCCUCCCUCAUUUUUUUGGGGACAUCAAACAAAUUUCCUGCAUUUGUACACAAUCUAAUAUGACCCUUUUGGCAUAAUGUUGUGGUCACUUACUGUAAAUAAUAAUAUAUGUUUCCAAACGCUUCUACAUGCGUGUGGAUGCUACAAUGAUUAUGGAUAAACCUGAAUGAAUUGUGAAUAAUGAUGAGUGAGAAAGUUAUAGAGGCACACAUCAUACCCCUCCCCAAAAAAAUCUAGCCUCCCAUGUUAUUGUAAUGGUGAGAGGUUAGCAUGUCUUGGGGGUAUGAUAUUUGUGCGUCUAACUUUCUCUCUCAUAAUUAUUCAUGAUUCAUUUAGAAUGAUCCGUAAUCAUGGUAGCAUCCACAUUAAUGUAGAAGCUUUUAGAAACUAAUUAUAUUCUUAUUUACAAUAAAAUUGACUCCAAAUAGACAUAAUACAUAAUUUACCAUGAAUUUCUAUUGGGCACAAAAUAAUCUGAAAUGCAACCAAAACUACCAGCAAAUGCAUCUGACAAAUUUGUAGACUCGCAACCUUGAUGUUGUCAUUGCAUGCUAUGAAUGUGGGGACCAAAUACUUCACUUUUUACUACUUUAAUACACAUACAAGGGAAUUUUGUCCCAAUACUUCGGUCCCCUAAAAUGGGGGACUAUGUACAAAAAGUGCUGUCAUUUCUAAACAGUCCACCUGAUAUGGAUGAAAAUAAACUCAAAUUAAUGCUGACAGUCUGCACUUUAACUUCAUAGUCAUUGUUUGAUUUAAAAUCCAAACUUUGAGGAUAGAGCCAAAAUAAGAUAAAAUGCUUCACUGUCCCAAUAAUUACUGAGGACACUGUAAUUCAUAUCGUAGGCCUAAUAGUACUGUAGAGCUUUUUUUACUUGCACACAAUAUAGCUGGAUCGCCCCGUCUUGUCCCUAGGGGUCCAACGCCCUGCAGUGCCCCAACCCAUCACACCCCACUCAGCUUUAGGAUCUUAGUGAAACAUUUAUUAUUGGUUUCAGGUGUGUUAGGCCAAGGUCAGAAUGACAACCAACAAUACGGCUGACCCCUGGGCCAGGACUGAGCAGCCCAGCAGCUAGGGAUUGCCUAAAUGGGUAUCUCCCCUGACGUGGGCAUGUCUUCAUGCGUACACUAUUCCAUAUAAGGCAUCCAGACCGUAUGAAAGUUGCACACUAUACUGUUAAUCUUUCAAUUUCUGCCAUCCUUUGUGACAUUGUCGGAGGAUAACCAACCUUCCAAUUAAUAGCAAUGCAUUUCUUAGCCACUAUAAAUGCUAGGUUACAUAGUUUCUUCUGAUAUCAGUCUCCAGUAUUAACAUUUCCAAGCAAACAAAAACAGGGAGAAAGGAGAAUCUGUAGAUAUGCUGAGAUAAAAUAACAUACUCUUUGCCAGAAUUCAGCCAACCUUCACAAGAGCAUAACAUAUACGUUCACCUUACCGCACCACAGACUGGUCUUCCCUGGUUUCUUGAUCCUGUUGAGACCCCUGUCUCAAUCUGAUCCUGCUAAAAUGAGGCAUCCUAAAGCACACUGAUACUGUGUUUUGUAUCACAGCAAUGACAAAAUUGGGGGGAGCAAUGACAAAAAUGCAAUUUCAGAAUGUCCCGCCGUCCCCAGUGGAAGUUGCACCCCUGCUGAUACUAUAAGUCACAUGUAAGUGUCAAGUGUAGACACGACCUGGUGUCUAGACUUGAUACUUACGUGCAACUUCUGCUACGGUUUCAGAAUACGGAAAUCGCAUUGAAAAGACUGGUCUAGAUGCACAAAAGUUGCUAUGUGGUCUGAUUGUGUUCAGAUCUAGCCUGGUAUGGCAAUAGCCCUGCCCUCGAUCGCAUGGCGCCAAAGAGGGUGGCGCGGACAGUCCAGUACAUCACUGAGGCCAAGCUCCCUGCCAUCCAGGACAUCUACACUAUAUAUACAGUACAGUUACAUUCUAGAUGAUUCUGUGCUUCCAACUUAGUGGUAACAGUUUAGGGAAGGCCCUUUCCUGUUUCAGCGUGACAAUGCCCCCGUGCCCAAAGUGAGGUCCAUACAGAAAUGGUUUGUCGAGAUUGGUGCGGAAGGACUUGACUGGCCUGCACAGAGCCCUGACCUCAACCCCAUCGAAUACCUUUGCGAUGAAUAGGAACGUCGACUACGAACCAGGCCUAAUCGCCCAACAUCAGUGCCCGACCUCACUAAUGCUCUUGUGGCUGAAUGGAAGGAAGUCCCCGCAGCAAUGUUCCAACAUCUAGUGGAAAGAUGUCUUCUAUCGGGCAUUAUCAGCUCAUUGUUAUGGAUGUAUCCAAAUGAAUGUCAAUAGAAAACAGCUACUUUGCUGUUAUUCUGCCUGCAGAGGUCGUGACUGUGUUAGCCGCAAGAAAGUGAUAGGAAUGUUAGGAUAGGAAUAGGAAUGAUAGUGAUAGGAAUGGCAACAGAACAUAAAGAACAAACGACUGGGUCGUGUCCAAAAGACGACAAAGAAUGAAUUUGUUUAUAUAAAUGAAAAUAUCAACCUUUUUUUUUCUACCUGUAAAUGUGUGCUUAGUAUUGUUUCUUUGGCAAUUGUGGUAUAAGCUGGAUAAACUGCUGUUAUUCUGGCUGCAGAGGUAAUGACUGUGUAGCUGUAGCAAGUUGACUGGCUAGCUAGCAGCAAGCAUGGGGUAAGAACGGAACAUUAAGAACGAACGAGUGGGUCGUGUCUGUAAAUAUCAAACUAAUCGAACGGCUGGGUCGCAUCUCUAGCAAACCAAAAGAUGAGAAAAUUUGCUUAUGAAAAUAUCAGCGAAAGAUAUGUAUUUGUACCGGUAAAUGUGUGCUUUCAUAUUGUUUUUUUUUUGGCAACUGUGGUAUAAGCUGGAUAAACGCCUCCGUUCUGUACAUUACCUUGGAAAAAGGGACCACCUUGUCCCGCUGCAUCGUCUGUUAUUUCCAAGGUAAUUUACAGAACAUCGGCGUUUACAUGUACCACGGGUAGGACAAAACAUUUAUUUUUACUCUUCUAAUUACAUUGUUAAACAGUUUAUAAUAGCAAUAAGGCAGGCACCUCUGGGGUUUGUUGUAUAUGGCCAAUAUACCACGUCUAAGGGCUGUAUCUAGGCACUCCGCAUUGCAUCGUGCAUAUAACAGCCCUUAGACGCGGUACUGUGCAUUUGGAAAGUAUUCAGAACUCUUGACUUUUUCCACAUUUUGUUACAUUACAGCCUUACAUGCUGACCACACCGCUCACGUGUGCGAGCUUUGCAAAAUAAAUGUACACAUACAUGUUAUUCCUGCGUGGCCAGGCGCUAAAAUAGAAAUAGGUUCUAUUUGAGCGUCUGCGUGGCCAGGCGCUAAAAUAGAAAUAGGUUCUAUUUGUGACACUCAAUGCGUUGCAAAGUCCGGCCUCGCCCAUCUCCUCAUUGGAUUUUAGGAGCAUAUACCCACGUGCCAUUUCCUCAUUGUUUUUUAGGAGCAUAUCCCACGUGAGUGAUUUGAAGAUGAACUGACGUCCACACUCCAGUCGGUUGUAGUAAUGCACUGUAAAGUUGGUUGCCAACCACCAUAUGAAGUCCAAAGAAGUAAAAAAAGAAGCUUGAGGAAGGAGGAGAGAUGACGAGAAAGGAAUUCAGUUUACCGUUUUAUCUGUGGAGUAGAGGACCUUGUGCAUUUCAG